Molecule: long non-coding RNA, 391 nt
Organism: Rosa rugosa (rugosa rose)
Lineage: Eukaryota; Viridiplantae; Streptophyta; Magnoliopsida; Rosales; Rosaceae
Exons: 2
Source: RefSeq, a predicted model, not a curated record
GAGACAUGCAUAGAAAGAAGAAGAAGGAAAUUCACAUCAUGAGAUUGAUCGGCGAGAGAAGGAGAAAAGGGGGACGGCAGGAAGAAGAAGAAGAAGAGGAAUCUGGAGGCAAUUCUGGAUCCAAGGGCGGAGCCACGUUGGGGCCUAGUGGGUCCCGUGCCCCACUGGGAUUUUUAGAGAAUAAGUAGUAUAGAGUUUCCGGUGGUAACUAAAUGUUGAGUUGGUUCAGUGGUAGCUCCUACUUUCUAGCUACUAAUGUAGCUGUAGGUUUGCAGUUCGAGUCCUUAAUGCUGCUAUGGUCCUGCAAGCUUCUUCUUCUCCAUCCAUCUCAUAGGUAUUUAAAAUUUUAUUGUACAAGUUAUGUGUAUCAAUGAUUUGUUAGAUUGUUUGA